UCGGCUUAGAGUUUGAUCAUGGCUCAGAUUGAACGCUGGCGGCAGGCCUAACACAUGCAAGUCGAACGGUAAGAGAGCUUGCUCUUGACGAGUGGCGGACGGGUGAGUAAUGUCUGGGAAACUGCCCGAUGGAGGGGGAUAACUACUGGAAACGGUAGCUAAUACCGCAUAACGUCUUCGGACCAAAGUGGUUCGUCACACCAUCGGAUGUGCCCAGAUGGGAUUAGCUAGUAGGUGGGGUAAUGGCUCACCUAGGCGACGAUCCCUAGCUGGUCUGAGAGGAUGACCAGCCACACUGGAACUGAGACACGGUCCAGACUCCUACGGGAGGCAGCAGUGGGGAAUAUUGCACAAUGGGCGCAAGCCUGAUGCAGCCAUGCCGCGUGUACGAAGAAGGCCUUCGGGUUGUAAAGUACUUUCAGCGGGGAGGAAGGCGGUGGAGUAAUCUUCAUCGUUGACGUUACCCGCAGAAGAAGCACCGGCUAACUCCGUGCCAGCAGCCGCGGUAAUACGGAGGGUGCAAGCGUUAAUCGGAAUUACUGGGCGUAAAGCGCACGCAGCGGUCUGUCAAGUCGGAUGUGAAAUCCCCGGGCUUAACCUGGGAACUGCAUUCGAAACUGGCAGCUAGAGUCUUGUAGAGGGGGGUAGAAUUCCAGUGUAGCGGUGAAAUGCGUAGAGAUCUGGA
This 685-nucleotide ribosomal RNA is filed under the name uncultured Pantoea sp. RNAcentral's name for it is "bacterial SSU rRNA". It matches the Rfam family "Bacterial small subunit ribosomal RNA", at positions 1 to 702 of the family's 1533-position model. The record is from RNAcentral. Lineage: Bacteria; Pseudomonadati; Pseudomonadota; Gammaproteobacteria; Enterobacterales; Erwiniaceae.